GCUGGGUGUGGUGGCGUGUGCCUGUGGUCCCAGCUACUUCGGAGGCUGAGGCAGGAGGAUCGCUUGAGCCCAGGAGAUAGAGGUUGCAGUGAGCUGAAAUUGUGCCACUGCACUCCAGCCUGGGCAAUAGAGCCAGACCCUGUCUCAA
Pongo abelii (Sumatran orangutan) is the source of this 148-nucleotide unclassified non-coding RNA. It matches the Rfam family "Metazoan signal recognition particle RNA". From Rfam's summary of the family: The signal recognition particle (SRP) is a universally conserved ribonucleoprotein. It is involved in the co-translational targeting of proteins to membranes. The record is from Ensembl. Lineage: Eukaryota; Metazoa; Chordata; Mammalia; Primates; Hominidae.